Molecule: long non-coding RNA, 573 nt
Organism: Centruroides sculpturatus (bark scorpion)
Lineage: Eukaryota; Metazoa; Arthropoda; Arachnida; Scorpiones; Buthidae
Exons: 2
Source: RefSeq, a predicted model, not a curated record
UACGACAUUGUUAUUAAGAGAAUUAUAAUAUAUUCCCUUUCGAAUAUGGCUUAUAAAGUUAAGAAAGGAUGAUUUUCGAGACGGCGUCUCUACAAUCCUGAUUACAGUUGAUUCGAGUGAAGUGCCGCGAGGCGAUGCCUGGGCCCCACCGACAACAGACGAAGGUUCCAACUACGGGCGAGUCUAUAAUACAGUUGUAGGGGGAGUCGACUUUAUGGGUAAACAUAACGUAGAAGACUAUCGAUAAUCGGGCCGAUCGAGCUUUAUUCGAUUAACGAUAAGACGAAAGAGGGAGUAAAUAAUUAUUUUUUGAAUAUAAUGUAAGUAUUUAGUGGCCAUUUUUUACGUGUUACGGAAAAAUUCGAGUAAUACCCUCAACCUAGGUUUGUGUUGUGGAAUAGACUAUUCCUUGUAUACUUGCGUUUGUAGCGCGGCCAUUUUUGCCUGCAAAUUCUAUCCGAUGAAAAUGGAGAUCGUUUCGAUGCUUUCUUCUAUAAUUUAUUCUCAAAUGUAACAGUUCAAUUCAGCUAAGGAAAUUAAUUAAAUUCCAAACUUUAAGAUUUAAGAAAAAUU